CCUACGGGGUGCAGCAGUCGAGAAUCAUUCACAAUGGGGGAAACCCUGAUGGUGCGACGCCGCGUGGGGGAAUGAAGGUCUUCGGAUUGUAAACCCCUGUCAUGUGGGAGCAAAUUAAAAAGAUAGUACCACAAGAGGAAGAGACGGCUAACUCUGUGCAAGCAGCCGCGGUAAUCCAGAGGUCUCAAGCGUUGUUCGGAAUCACUGGGCGUAAAGCGUGCGUAGGCUGUUUCGUAAGUCGUGUGUGAAAGGCGCGGGCUCAACCCGCGGACGGCACAUGAUACUGCGAGACUAGAGUAAUGGAGGGGGAACCGGAAUUCUCGGUGUAGCAGUGAAAUGCGUAGAUAUCGAGAGGAACACUCGUGGCGAAGGCGGGUUCCUGGACAUUAACUGACGCUGAGGCACGAAGGCCAGGGGAGCGAAAGGGAUUAGAUACCCGGGUAGUC
RNAcentral lists this ribosomal RNA (446 nucleotides) under uncultured bacterium. RNAcentral describes it as "partial 16S ribosomal RNA". It matches the Rfam family "Bacterial small subunit ribosomal RNA", at positions 338 to 795 of the family's 1533-position model. The record is from RNAcentral.